RNAcentral lists this ribosomal RNA (497 nucleotides) under uncultured bacterium. RNAcentral describes it as "partial 16S ribosomal RNA". It matches the Rfam family "Bacterial small subunit ribosomal RNA", at positions 28 to 507 of the family's 1533-position model. The record is from RNAcentral.
GACGAACGCUGGCGGCGUGCCUAAUACAUGCAAGUAGAACGCUGAAGAGAGGAGCUUACUCUUCUUGGAUGAGUUGCGAACGGGUGAGUAACGCGUAGGUAACCUGCCUUGUAGCGGGGGAUAACUAUUGGAAACGAUAGCUAAUACCGCAUAACAAUGGAUGACACAUGUCAUUUAUUUUAAAGGGGCAAUUGCUCCACUACAAGAUGGACCUGCGUUGUAUUAGCUAGUAGGUGAGGUAAUGGCUCACCUAGGCGACGAUACAUAGCCGACCUGAGAGGGUGAUCGGCCCCACUGGGACUGAGACACGGCACAGACUCCUACGGGGGGGAGCAGGAGGGAAACGUCGGCAAUGGGGGCAACCCUGACCGAACAACGCCGCGUGAGUGAAGAAGGUUUUCGGAUCGUAAAGCUCUGUUGUAAGUCAAGAACGGGUGUGAGAGUGGAAAGUUCACACUGUGACGGUAGCUUACCAGAAAGGGACGGCUAACUACGUG